Molecule: long non-coding RNA, 462 nt
Organism: Zophobas morio
Lineage: Eukaryota; Metazoa; Arthropoda; Insecta; Coleoptera; Tenebrionidae
Exons: 3
Source: RefSeq, a predicted model, not a curated record
UACGUUUUUAAAUUCCUAAAAUGUUCUUUCUGACAGAUAUCAUAUUUUCCGUCUUAACUGCUACCAAUGCAUUGGCAGCCUCGCAGUACCGUGUACAACCCCGUAUCUGUCUAAUAAAGGAAAAGUCGCAGAAUAAUGUCAAUGGAACCAAUGUCACGUACACAAUAAUAAGUUGCUACAAUUCGUGGUGUUGUAAAGAGGGUUGCUGUAACUGGUACAUCAAUUUAUCUGUUUGGAUUACUGCUCUGCUGAUUUCCAUAUGCAUCUAUGUUUUCUUAAAAGCACUUCUAUAUAAGUUUUGGUGUAGCAAAAAUGACAAAGGUUUGUUAGACGUCACGGUGAAAAAGGACGCCGAUUGUGCAUGAGCUAAUUUCAAGAUAACGAAAAUUUUCAUUUUAUUGUAGACGUGCAGCGAUUGUACAAAAACCAUGAAAAAUAAAGUGUGUUUCAGAUUUCAGCAAU